RNAcentral lists this long non-coding RNA (4668 nucleotides) under Sus scrofa (pig). Lineage: Eukaryota; Metazoa; Chordata; Mammalia; Artiodactyla; Suidae. The record is from RNAcentral.
GCCCGCAGCGCAGCAGGCGGAACCUCCUGACUCUGCCUCGGCCGCGGGGACCGCACAGAACAAAGGGGGGUGGGGCGGCGAGCGCCUGGGGCUCCGGAGAAGGUCUCCGGGGUCCGAUUUCAAGGCCAGAGUUAAAGCGCUCUCUACAAAAGAGCCCCAGGGGUCCCUGAGGCUUGACCUCCAAACUUGAACUCUGCCUGAACUGACGUCUUCUUUUUUGAGGUUUGAAGACAUUUAAUCAAGUCUCCUCCCAGGACAUUUGAUUUUUGCACUUGUGGGCUCCAGCUGGGGGAAGACGUGCCAAACCACCAGUGGGAAGGCGGCCCGGAGGUACUUCCAGUCCGCCUGGAAGCAGCAGCCGUGACCGCCUGGUACCCGGCCGCUGGCUUUUCUGAUGUCAUCUCAGAUUCAAAUGAUCCAGAACUGAGGUCACCCACCCUCCGCCUGGCGUCUCUUCUGCUCCUGUCGGGAAAAGCACGCUUCCAGACCCUGGAGCAGGGCCUUGGGGGGACCUCUGCCUUCCCGGCCUCCGGCCCUGCGGCCGUCAUCCGGCUCCGAAGGCCUCUUCCUCUGACUCAGGAUUUCACAGUCAUCGCUCACAAACGUGACCCAAGCUAAAGGACCUUCAAAAAGGAGCACUGAACCCCAAACGGCAGCAAUCGGGGAGUCCCACCUGCAGGCAGAGCCCAGCCGGGACACCGGCCCGGCGCCCAGGCCCCACAGAGGCCACGCCUGGUGCCUGCUCCUGGGCCAGGGCUCGGAGCCGCGCUUGCCCGGCAUUCGCUCCUCGGCUCCCAAGGCCCCCACCCCUCCCCACACUGCCCCACAAGAGGCCCUACCUUGGCCCUGGGACCUCAGUGUAACUUUCAGAGCCCAGCUCGGGCCCUGGGGGUCCCCCUGAAGGUCAGCGGCACCCACGGCAGGGACAAGGGCGUGGCCAGGAGCUCAGGCCCCAGAGCCACACAACCCGUGUAAGUGGUAGCCGUGCAACUCGGCCGAUCGGCUCAACAUUUCAGCCUUGGCUGUCUUAUCUGUAAAAUGAAACUAACAAUACUGCCUGGCUUAGGAGUUCCCGUUGUGGCUCCGCAGGUUAAGAACCCAAUUAGUAUCCUUAGUACCCAGGUUCCAUUCCUGGCUUUUGUGGGUUAAGGAUCUGGUACUACUACAAGCUGCAGCAUAGAUCGCAGAUGGAGCUCGGAUCCAGUGUUGCUGUGGCUGUAGGCUAGCAGCCUCAGGUCUGAUUCGACCCUUAGCCUAGGAAUUUCCAUAUGCUGCAGGUGCAGCCCUGAAAAAAAAAAAAAAAAGGACCUAGCUUAUAAGGUCAAGGAGACAAUCAAACAGGACGUUGCACUCAGUGUGCUUAAUCCAAUGUCUGCCCAUUAAUUGUUAGAAACGCCUACUGUCGUCGCUGUAUGUUUUCUUAUUCUCUCAUUUCUGCUUUUCCCUGUGGCCACCUUGUCGACCUCUGUUAACUUGUAAGUUCUCCAAGGGCACAGACAAUGCUGUCUUUGUAUGAUAUUCUGCGCGCGUACGCGCACACACGCACACACACACACACCAGCAUUGCUGGACCAGUGCUGGGGGCAGAGCAGAGAGUGGAUUGACCAAUUUCCCACCUGUGCUGAUAUAAUGUGGGUCCAGGGUAAAGAGGAAGGGCUGCCCACCAGGAGACGGGCAGCGAGGGAGCUUUCCAAGGGGCACCGUUAUUUUAUCAGCUGUGACCCAAAGGACAGGAUAAUACCUUCUGACUUCAGGGGAUUUAUAAAGUAGGUGAAGAAGAGCUGAUACGGACCUGACCACCUCCAGAUUCGGGAUUUCAGACAACGCGUGAGAAAGGAACGAGAAGGAAAGUGGAGAAAGGAGAGGCAGACAGGACCCCAGCUGCAGCAUGCAUGUGACCCAGCAGACACGGAGCCACCUCUCCCGUGUCAGAGUCAUGAUCGAACACGAUUCCUCAACCAACAAACCUGAACUCAAGGUAGAGUGGAAGGAGGAAGUGAGAGAAGGCGAUUGAGGCCGGGGAAGGACCGGAAGACUGAAAGAGUCCUUUACCUCCCUACAAGCAGAAGGAAGAGACAGACCACAGCCGAGUGGCUCUCUGCUCUCCAGCCUGGGACCCGGAGCUCUACCAUCGCCGCUGUUCCAAUCCAGCCCGGGGCACUGGUGUUAUCUCUUCAGAGGUAUGCACCUGUUUUCCUCCCUCCAGAACACACCUUGCAGAGACCCAUAGUGACCCCACUCCCAGCAGCGUCUGCCCUGAUCCUGACGGGGGGGCCGGCACACCGAGCCCCUGGCAUCAGGCAACACCCGAGCAGCAGCAUCGUGGGUGGAAAAUAGUUAGAAAGGCACAUUUCAGGCAUAAAGACCAACAAUUUUGGCUUUGACUGGACACGCAGAAGACAAGGGUCCGCCAAGGGAUCUUAAAACACAAACAACCACAAAACAAAGCCAAUAAAAUCAAGCACCGUGAAAUGACUUUGGACUCCAUAUUGCACAAGUUUGUUUUUUAGGUAAACUCGGGGUUUCGGUUUUAGCACUAAAUAGAUCAGGGGGGUGGGGGGGAUGAAAGUGGGCACGUUUGCAUCCUGGGCUGUGCCAGGUGUGCACAUUUCCAGGUAGAUGGAGCCAAUUAAUGAACGAAAUAAGAACGAAACAGAAAUGAUUGUUCCAGGGUGAGCUUCUGGGCUGCACCUCCUUUCACAGAUGCCCAGCUUCGAAGUCAUGUUUGCUGCCGGCACAAGGAGAAGGUGGCCAUGGCUGGGGCUGUGGCCGGCCACUGUCCACGGUGCAAAAACAAGCGUCAGAGGAAGGACGCGCUGGAGCCUGCAGGAAAGAGCUCCAUUGCCGAGGCUUUAAAUAAGCCCAGCCUCUGUCCCAGGGCUAAUCAUCUCCAACAUUCUGGAGUUUCCUGGCAGCCUGGCAGUUAAGGAUCUGGCGCUGUCACUGCUGUGGCUCGGGUUCAGUUCCUAGCCUGGGAACUUCCACAAACAGCCAAACAAGAAAAAAACCUUAAAAGAAAUUUCAAAUGUUCUGCUUACAUUAAAUGGCCUUGGAACCUAAGGACCUCUGUGGGACCAAAAUAAAACAGCCUUUCCCUGGCCCUAGAGGAGUAAGCCUGGAAAUUAAAUAGCCACAGCUUUGUUAUCUGCUCUUCAUCUAUCAUUAGUUUGGGAUUAACUUUGGGCCCCUCUCUCCAACUUUCAGCCAAAGAGCACAGGGAACAAAGCCUAAUUUCAUGAUGGCAAAUCUGCAAAAAAAAAAAAAAAAAAAAAAAUAAAUAAAUAAAAACAAGAAUUGAGUCCCCUGCGCACGCACACGUGUGCGCGCGCACACACACACACACACACACACACACACACACCAGCAAAUGGCGAUGCCUUUUGGCUGAUCUGCUUUCUUCCCACGCACGCUGCAAACCGACGGGUCAGAAGUGGUGUCCAGGGCAUCUCUGUGGGCCGUGAUCUGCUGCCUUCCCCGGGUCUCAGGAGAACAUGAGCUCGGUAGCUGGCCAGACAUCUCCUGCCACGAUCCAGCCCUGUGCUGCCAAGGUCGGAGCCCACAAGGGCGUCUGAAAACGUGCAAAAGUGUGUUCUCUUGACUGCCAGGCACAGGCCCAGCCUAAGGGAGGGAACCAGACCUUUUCCUGCCAGGAUCCAGCCCCCGGCGUCAUGGAAACUGGGGAAUCAUUCCUGACACCCCUUUUGACUCUGCCAAGGUUACAUGCAGCUGUGGUCACUGCCUCCAACUCAAGGACAUCCUUGAGCCUAAGAUCUUGGAGAGGCCUGGCUCUUAAUCAUUAAACACAUAUUAAUAAAAACCAAUGUGAUACAAUGUAUCCCGAUAUCUGUCACAGUAACAUAAGAAUGUUAUAUAUUAAUGCGAGUGUAUUGUGCUAACAUGAAUCAUAUAUUAAUAGCCUUUUGAUGAUUGAGGUUAUAUUUAUAUUAACUCUAUCAUAAUAUGAAAUAGGAUAUAAAUAGGCUGUCCCCCUGCAUUUGUGAAAGUGACGCGGGCACAGCAGUAGGUCCCCGGCUGACCCAGAUGCCCAGGCUGGUGCCUCUGGCUGACGGCUCUGCUCUCCACCCCUCCAGGAACUGCUCUUGCCUGAGGCCGUCCACCUCACCCUUUACCUGCCUCUUCCCGGGGAUAAGCUUCCUGGUGGAUGUACAGAACCGAGGCUCAGUCCCUGCCCCCCACCUUGGGGAGGCCCUGAGACAGAGCUCCCCCGGGGGAGGGGGGCAGGCUGUGGCCAGCUUCCUCUGCCCCCUCCCCUCAUAGUGGCUUCCUCUCAGAGCCCGCUGCCUGGGCACGUCAACCUGCAGCGACUGGUCCCAGCAGUCGCCUGGUAGGUGGGUGCUCAGAGGGCUGCGGGCUGCGGCCCCCCAGCCCCUGGCUCUCGUGGGGGUGGGGCAUCCAUCACCCUCACCUCAAAUCCAGCUGCCUGGAGACCCGGCCCGAAGCAGCAGUCCCCUUCCACUUCCCCAGACUGGGCCUUAAUUCCGUUUAGAUGGGUGAGCCAUGAGGUCUUCCUGUACAGCAGAGGGACCUGUAUCGUCUCUUGGGAUAGACCAUGACGGAAGACAACGCGAGGAAAAGAACAUACAUAUACAUGAACGACUGGGUCACUUUGCUGUACGGCAGAAAUGGACACAACCUUGUAAAUCAACU